UAGGGAAUCUUCGGCAAUGGGGGCAACCCUGACCGAGCAACGCCGCGUGAGUGAAGAAGGUUUUCGGAUCGUAAAGCUCUGUUGUAAGAGAAGAACGUGUGUGAGAGUGGAAAGUUCACACAGUGACGGUAACUUACCAGAAAGGGACGGCUACUAAAACGUGCCAA
RNAcentral lists this ribosomal RNA (167 nucleotides) under uncultured bacterium. RNAcentral describes it as "partial 16S rRNA". It matches the Rfam family "Bacterial small subunit ribosomal RNA", at positions 355 to 511 of the family's 1533-position model. The record is from RNAcentral.